Molecule: non-coding RNA, 1260 nt
Organism: Camellia sinensis
Lineage: Eukaryota; Viridiplantae; Streptophyta; Magnoliopsida; Ericales; Theaceae
Source: RefSeq, a predicted model, not a curated record
CGCAAACCCUAAUUGCGUGGAAACCUCUAUUUAAAGGACAAUCCGCCGUUUUCUUCAAUCUCGCAGUCUCUGAAAAGUGAGAUAUAACGAAUGCAGAAAGCGACAAGGUUGGCUUACCAGCCCAUUGCGCUUCUCUUCUGUUGCCUUGGCGUCAAAUGGACCUACCGAUACUAAAAAAAAUCCCCCUAUUUUCUAUUUUGUUAUUGCUUGUUUUUGUAUUAUGCAUUCAAUAGAAUCAUUAUUUCAUAAUUUUGUUUUAUAUUUUUGAAGGAAAUGGCAAAUGAUGAAUGUUUUCUUAUCCUACACACUGAAUAAUCGUGUUGAUUACUAUACUCCGCUUAUUGUCUGAUGCCAAUUCUUUCUCUUGUUUUGGUUGAAUUUUAUGUUUUUAUUUUCUUUUUUCUUUUUCUUUUUUUGGGUGUGUUCUGCAUAAUCAAUCGACUCUUAUGAUUUUGAUGCUUUUAUAGUUUUCUACACUUUUUGUUUGUUGUAUUCAUUCAGUGAUGAGAAAAAGCAGACGGGCGGUCUGAAUCUGAUGCCGUGUUGAUUGUCUGCAUAUUUCCAUUUAUUUAUUUGGAAUGUCUCUGAGAUCAACAUUUUGUGUGAAUUUUGAUGUUUUUGUCUUCGAAAAUUAUGAAAACGAUUUUUAAAUUCUCUGAUCAUUGUUUCUGUUUAUUUGUUGGAAAUUGAGUUCUUGAUCUUGGUACUAAUUUGCUUUGCUAUGAUGAAAUAGCUAAAAUUAUGUCUGACACUAGUUCGCCUGUAAAUACCGAGACCAAAGCAACAAAACCUUCAAUCUGUCUCAACGGUGAUCGAUCUACAGUCGCCGAAACAUUCGGAGAAAACGGAAAGGGAGCUAUUGAGCUCUCGGAAUCUUGCGGGAUGGGCGAGACGGUAAGAGAGAGAGAGAGAGGGGUCUCUCGAAGAUCGAUCGAUCGAUUCUCUUUCUGACUCCGCCCAUGCCAUUGGAUUCCGAUUGCUCCUCCCUCUCCUCCUCUCUCCUUUCACAAUCAUACCCACCUCCAGAUCAUUUUGUUUCUGUUUGUUUGUUGGAAAUUGCUUUGCUAUGAUGAAGUUGCUAAAAUUAUGUCUGGACAUAUGAAUUGUCUAUGAUUUGUUAUAUGCUUCUCCUGAGCAGAAUGGGUUUGAUUACUAUUGUGAAAAUAUUUGUUUGGAUUUUUAAUUUGGGACAAUUACACUGCAGUGGAGUUUGUAAAAAUAAAUUAUAAAUUAAUAAAAAAAGGUUUAUAAUUUUAAUUA